RNAcentral lists this unclassified non-coding RNA (200 nucleotides) under Chaetothyriales sp. Its description in RNAcentral is "partial internal transcribed spacer 2". The record is from RNAcentral. Lineage: Eukaryota; Fungi; Ascomycota; Eurotiomycetes; Chaetothyriales.
UUAAGUUCAGCGGGUAUUCCUACCUGAUCCGAGGUCAACCUUGUAAAAAAUAAAAGGAGAGACCGCGCUAUCAGACCGCGGACGGCGCGUGCUGGUGAGAGCUCAUUGCACCGAGGGUCAUAUAGGCAACCGUCACUAUCUUUCGAACCGGUCGUCUAACGGACCUGGGGGUUCAACGACAAGCCCAAGCUUGAGGGGUG